CGGAGCGUAGCUCAGAUGGCUAGAGCGCAGCGUUUGGGACGCUGAGGCCGCGAGUUCAAGUCCCGCCGCUCCGACUA
This 77-nucleotide transfer RNA is filed under the name Candidatus Roizmanbacteria bacterium. RNAcentral describes it as "tRNA-Pro". It matches the Rfam family "tRNA". From Rfam's summary of the family: Transfer RNA (tRNA) molecules are approximately 80 nucleotides in length. Their secondary structure includes four short double-helical elements and three loops (D, anti-codon, and T loops). The record is from RNAcentral. Lineage: Bacteria; Candidatus Roizmaniibacteriota.